This 94-nucleotide microRNA precursor is filed under the name Picea abies (Norway spruce). Its description in RNAcentral is "miR950h stem-loop (pab-MIR950h)". Its record names the gene pab-MIR950h. The record is from miRBase by way of RNAcentral. Lineage: Eukaryota; Viridiplantae; Streptophyta; Pinopsida; Pinales; Pinaceae.
ACGAGUGUGUUAUUGUCGUCCGGGCCACGAUGGUUAAUGAUCGUUUAGGAUGUUCAGAACCACCGUGGCCCUGAUGAGAAGAAUACCCUCUUGU